This 111-nucleotide non-coding RNA is filed under the name uncultured Ignatzschineria sp. Its description in RNAcentral is "SAM riboswitch (S box leader)". It matches the Rfam family "SAM riboswitch aptamer (S box leader)". From Rfam's summary of the family: The SAM riboswitch is found upstream of a number of genes which code for proteins involved in methionine or cysteine biosynthesis in Gram-positive bacteria. The SAM riboswitch acts at the level of transcription termination control. The record is from RNAcentral. Lineage: Bacteria; Pseudomonadati; Pseudomonadota; Gammaproteobacteria; Cardiobacteriales; Ignatzschineriaceae.
UUUAUCAAGAGCGGUGGAGGGAUAGGCCCUACGAAACCCGGCAACCUGAAUAUAGAAAAGAUAUUUAAGGUGCUAACUCCUACAGAGAUCGGAGGAUUUCUGAGAGAUAAA